UACGGAGUGUGCAAGCGUUACUCGGAAUCACUGGGCAUAAAGCGCGCGUAGGCGGGUUUGCAAGUCGAUUGUAAAAUCCCUCAGCUCAACUGAGGAACUGCAGUCGAUACUGCUCACCUUGAGGACGAAAGGGGAGAGUGGAACUUCUGGUGGAGCGGUGAAAUGCGUAGAUAUCAGAAGGAACACCGGUGGCGAAAGCGACUCUCUGGUUCGUACCUGACGCUGAGGCGCGAAAGCUUGGGUAGCAAACGGG
Molecule: ribosomal RNA, 253 nt
Filed under: uncultured bacterium
Lineage: Bacteria
Description: partial 16S ribosomal RNA
Rfam family: Bacterial small subunit ribosomal RNA
Source: RNAcentral